AAAUCAUGACUUAGAUAAUAUAGAAGUAGUUUAUUUCUCUUACACAUAACAGAAGUGCAGAGAUAGGAUACUUUGGAUUGAUAUGCCGGCUCCACAAAGAACCUGGGGGUCCAGGCUCCUUCUAGUCACCACUGCCUUCCUUAGAGUGCGACUCUGGCCCUCAUAGUACAAAAUGGCUGGUAGAGCUCCAGCCACCCUAUCCAUAUUCUAGGCAGCAGAAUGUGGGAAAGGAAAGAGUGAGCAAAGUGUUUACAUCAGCUGUCUAUUAAGAUACUUUCUCAGGGUCACACAAAAUACUUCCACUUAAUUUCACUGGCUAGGAAUUUGUCAUAUGGCCACACACAAUUUUGGUGGGUCUGGGAAAUAUAAAUAUAGCCUUUUAGCUGGGUAAAUUUUAUCAUCCCCCUAAAAACCUGGUGGUCCUAAGACUAAGGAAAACGAGAAGGCCACUAGCACUUUGCCCUAAUUUGGCUGCUUGAGUCACGAAUGAGCACAGACUCUGGGAAACAGACGGCAGGCUUGCUUUGCCAGCUUCACUACCUCAGAGCGAGAUUUUAGAGAGUCCAGUCACUUUCUAACUGGGGUCUGGAAAUAGUCCUAAACAUUGCCAGCUAACUUUUAAAACCGAAAUGUAAUGAGCCCCCAGAGAAGACUUUGAUUCCAGAGCUGUUUAAGGAUGCUCCAAGUCAGAUGUCCAGACGCGCAGGGCCCAUUUCCUGUUGUUUACAACACAUGCACACAUUCCUGCCUGUUGCAGUCUGGAUACAGUUCAUCCUCAUCUUCAGAAAUAGAAGCCUCCUCUGCCUGCCCCCUCCUCCCAUUUUAUAAACCAGUCAGUCUAUUGGACACUCUAGCAAAAUUUCCUGCAUUGGUUUGCUUAGUAAAUUACAGCUCCGGCUCAGUUUGAUGUGAGAAGUAGCAAACCAUCCUGUGUUACUUUUUGCCUUCAUGUAAAGAAAUCACCAGGAACAGCGGAAGAAUCAGAUGAUAGGUUCCUUUUAUGAUCCUUUGCUUAGCCUCCGGCGUUUCGAGUACAGGUUACCUAUGGGCAAAGCUGUACAGGGUCAGCAGGACACCGGGCCUGCCUUCUCCCCAUCCCUAGCCCGGGUUUGAAGAUUCUCAGCAUGUACCUUGCAACACUGCAUCCUACUCAGGGCAGCUGAGAAGCUGCAAGGGAGCAAAAUGGACCUGUGUUCUGGUCUCCCUCCUUUCUAGCUUCCUUGGGUCUGUACUGCAUUUGAAUAAGCCCCCAUGCCCCAGAGAACAGGAAGACACGAUGUGGUUUAUCCCGAACGGAAAGCAACCAAAUCCAAUAAUUGAGCUGUUAACUAAACCAUUGCUAGGAAAGAGACUUAUCAUUGCUUCCUAAAGGAAAAAAGAAACAACAACUUUAAAACCAACUUAAAAUUUCUACCACCCAUGAAAUCACAUGUUUUAGUUCCCGUCAAGUCCUCUGAGGCAGUGUUUUUUUCCUUGGAGGGCACUACGAAGCAGCAGCGUCCAGAGGGAGCCCUUCUGUGGGGCGGGCCUCGAGCUUUAUUUGACUCCCUGUCUCCAUCCUUACCACCACUCUCUACCUGCCCUGCUCUCUGUGCCUCAGUCACAGCAAGGUCGUCCCCCUCUGGGCAUUUGCAGGAACUGCCCCUUCAUCAACUCUGCUCUUUGCUCAGCUCUUCAAUGGCUGGUCACUUCUCAUUAUUCGGUUCCAGUUUAAUGCCAUCUCCUCUAAGAAGACUUUCUGCUCAUCCAGUCUAAAGCAGCCUGACCCCACCCCUCUCUAUCUGCCACCCUGUUUCGUUUUUAUCACAGCAUAGACUGUCGUCUAAUAGUUUCUUGUUUAUUUACUUCUUAUUGUCUGGCCUGCCUCCAUCAGGGUGGCGGCUUCCAGGGUCAGCCUAGCGCCUCAUCAUAUCUGGCAAAAGAGGCAGAGUCUCUCAACCUCGGCACUCUCGACAUGCGGGGCCACGUAACUCCGCGUGUGGGGAGCUGUCCUGUGCACUGAGGAUGUUUAACAACAUCUCUGGCCUCUACCCAUUCGAUGCCUUCUACUUGUGGCGACCAAAAAUGUCUUCAGACGUUGCCAAAUGUCCCUGGGGAAGAAGCUGGCCUGCAGUGGAGGAGCACUGGAUUCGGCUGCUGGCUGUCUUGUUGCCGCUUGGACGUUCGCAAGGCAACUCAGACAGUCACAACAGCUGUGAGCUGCUGAACGCCUACGGGUACUGGGCACUUUUCUGCGGGUUUUACAUUUAAUCGUUACAACAACCCUUACAACAGGCACUAGUUAUCCACAUUUUACAGAUAGGGAAACUGAGGCACAGAGUGAUUGAUAAACUUGUCUAAGUUCUUACCGUUAGUAAGUGGUGAAGCCGAGAAUUCAAACUGGAUAACAGGCUCCAGAAGUCUGUGCUAACAGGAGUGGACAAAGCUGUGGCCUCUCACGGUCCUGCCUCUGGUGGCCGAGACUGGACAUCAGAAGGUCUCAUCCCCCAGCCCACGCAGUCAUGCAUUCGGAGUGAACAUGGGCAAGUGACAGCUUUCCUCUCCAAGCCUCAGUUACC
RNAcentral lists this long non-coding RNA (2558 nucleotides) under Equus caballus (horse). RNAcentral's name for it is "lncRNA (ENSECAG00000044590.1)". Lineage: Eukaryota; Metazoa; Chordata; Mammalia; Perissodactyla; Equidae. The record is from RNAcentral.